UACGACUACAUAUCAGGCAUAUCAAUAAGCGGAGGAAAAGAAACUAACAUAGGAUUCCCUCAGUAACGGCGAGUGAAGCGGGAAGAGCUCAAAUUUGAAAUCUUCAAGGUUCUACCUUGACGAAUUGUAGUUUAAAGAAGUGUUUUCUGUUAGAUGAGUAGCAAAAGUUCCUUGGAAUGGGACAUCAUAGAGGGUGAGAAUCCCGUAUUUGGUUAUUCAUUCUAGCUUUGUGAUACACUUUCAAAGAGUCGGAUUGUUUGGGAAUGCAGUCCAAAAUGGGUGGUAAAUUUCAUCUAAAGCUAAAUAUUGGCGAGAGACCGAUAGCGAACAAGUACCGUGAGGGAAAGAUGAAAAGAACUUUGAAAAGAGAGUUAAACAGUACGUGAAAUUGUCAAAAGGGAAGCGUCUGACACCAGUGUUGUUUUUCCGAAAAUCAAUUACGAAUGGCUUGAUUUUGUGUUGUAUUGACCUUAUCAGCUUUCUUCACUUUUUUCGAGUCUUUCUUAAUGCACUUUUCGGUUAACAAGUCAACAUCAAUUUCUUUUGUUGCAAAAGAGAAUUCGGAAGGUGGCUUUCUUUUCGGAGAAAGUGUUUAUAGCCCUAUACUUCUACAAUCGGAGAGAUUGAGGUCUGCAGCGUAGAUCCUUCGGGGUUAGAUACAUUUGUGCUAAGUUGUAGCUUUUCAUAGACAACUUGUUGACUAUGUUUAGUCAUGCGGCUUACUCGCUUAUGCUAUUUUACCUACGCUUAGGAUGUUGAGUAGCGACAUACGCAC
RNAcentral lists this ribosomal RNA (775 nucleotides) under uncultured Neocallimastigales. Its description in RNAcentral is "partial large subunit ribosomal RNA". It matches the Rfam family "Eukaryotic large subunit ribosomal RNA", at positions 24 to 649 of the family's 3401-position model. Lineage: Eukaryota; Fungi; Neocallimastigomycota; Neocallimastigomycetes; Neocallimastigales. The record is from RNAcentral.